Molecule: long non-coding RNA, 227 nt
Filed under: Elaeis guineensis (African oil palm)
Lineage: Eukaryota; Viridiplantae; Streptophyta; Magnoliopsida; Arecales; Arecaceae
Description: long non-coding RNA (EGUI_LNC005301)
Source: RNAcentral
UCCCUCAUUCCCAGGCUUCUUGAAUCUGGACCAGCAAUACCUGCUCCUUUUUCUCUCCCAUUCCUCAAACUGACGUCGGUCCUAAGCUUCGCGUGGCAUGGUCUCAGCUGAUCCAUCUUUAUCUUUAUUUUGUGGAUCCAAAAAAAAGNGAAAUAGUUAUUUAUAGUGUUAUUUAUUAUGUUAUUCAUUUAUUGUAUAAAUAAAUAGUUAAACAUAUUUUUAAGUAU